UGACUUGCCUUGAAGGCCAAAGUUGAUGA
This 29-nucleotide non-coding RNA is filed under the name Rattus norvegicus (Norway rat). Lineage: Eukaryota; Metazoa; Chordata; Mammalia; Rodentia; Muridae. The record is from RNAcentral.